Molecule: long non-coding RNA, 257 nt
Filed under: Helianthus annuus (common sunflower)
Lineage: Eukaryota; Viridiplantae; Streptophyta; Magnoliopsida; Asterales; Asteraceae
Description: sRNA HanXRQr2_Chr15g0712561
Source: RNAcentral
GUCUCAUACACAGGAAAUAGAAUCUUCUCUCCCCAAACAAGACAAGACACAGCGACUACGUACAAGGGCGACAACUAGUGGCGAUUACUGCUCCAACAUUUGUAAUCGGUACAAUAUCUGAAUCGCUUCGAUCGUCGACCGAACAUUUGAAGUCGUCAUUCCCCAAUUCUCCAUUGAAGAGAGGACUAUAAUCUAUAACUACAUAACCAUGCCUGCUUAUGGAUGCUCAAUUGAGAAGUCUUAUGAUGUAUAGAUAA